GAUGAAGAACGUAGCGAAAUGCGAUAAGUAAUGUGAAUUGCAGAAUUCAGUGAAUCAUCGAAUCUUUGAACGCACAUUGCGCCCCUUGGUAUUCCGAGGGGCAUGCCUGUUCGAGCGUCAUUAUAACCCCUCAAGCUCAGCUUGGUGUUGGGGCCUGCUGCACUGGCAGCCCUUAAAAUCAGUGGCGGCGCCAUCUGGCUCUAAGCGUAGUAAUUCUUCUCGCUAUGGAGUCCUGGUGGAUGCUUGCCAUCAACCCCCAAUUUUUCUAUGGUUGACCUCGGAUCAGGUAGGGAUACCCGCUGAACUUAAGCAUAUUAAUAAGCGGAGGA
RNAcentral lists this unclassified non-coding RNA (329 nucleotides) under soil metagenome. RNAcentral's name for it is "partial contains 5.8S ribosomal RNA, internal transcribed spacer 2, and large subunit ribosomal RNA". The stretch from base 1 to 120 matches the Rfam family "5.8S ribosomal RNA", at positions 35 to 154 of the family's 154-position model. The record is from RNAcentral.